AACAAGGCGUACCUGCGGACCUGCGGAGGGAUCAUUACACAAUAAACAUAUGAAGGCUGCACCGCCAACAGGCGGCAAGGCUGGAGUAUUUUAUUACCCUUGUCUUUUGCGCACUUGUUGUUUCCUGGGCGGGUUCGCCCGCCUCCAGGACCACAUGAUAAACCUUUUUUAUGCAGUUGCAAUCAGCGUCAGUACAACAAAUGUAAAUCAUUUACAACUUUCAGCAAUGGAUCUCAGAUC
This 240-nucleotide unclassified non-coding RNA is filed under the name soil metagenome. Its description in RNAcentral is "partial contains 5.8S ribosomal RNA, internal transcribed spacer 2, and large subunit ribosomal RNA". The record is from RNAcentral.